Molecule: small nuclear RNA, 24 nt
Filed under: Arabidopsis thaliana (thale cress)
Lineage: Eukaryota; Viridiplantae; Streptophyta; Magnoliopsida; Brassicales; Brassicaceae
Description: snRNA_00903
Source: RNAcentral
GUGGGAGAGAGUUAGCCUUCUUUC